RNAcentral lists this unclassified non-coding RNA (305 nucleotides) under uncultured Trechispora. Its description in RNAcentral is "sequence contains ITS2". The stretch from base 1 to 52 matches the Rfam family "5.8S ribosomal RNA", at positions 103 to 154 of the family's 154-position model. Lineage: Eukaryota; Fungi; Basidiomycota; Agaricomycetes; Polyporales; Polyporaceae. The record is from RNAcentral.
AACGCACCUUGCGCUCCUUGGUAUUCCGAGGAGCAUGCCUGUUUGAGUGUCUUGAAGUCAUCAACCUCUCCCGUUUCGUGCGGGCUGCCGGUUGGACGUGGGGGCAUGCUGCCGUGAGGUGGCUCCCCUCAAAUGCUUCGGUUGGACCUGUGGGUCGAACUCGACUGGGCGUUGUACCAUCCUCGCUCCUCCGAGACGUUCUCCACUUAUCGAGUCCUCCCUAGACCUGCCCGUAGGGUGGCGGUCAACAAAGCUCGACUUUGAAAUCUGACCUCAAAUCAGGUAGGACUACCCGCUGAACUUAA